UACUCUACUUGUUUGUAUCCCAUCUCGAU
RNAcentral lists this small RNA (29 nucleotides) under Bombyx mori (domestic silkworm). Its description in RNAcentral is "ovarian small RNA-21414". The record is from RNAcentral. Lineage: Eukaryota; Metazoa; Arthropoda; Insecta; Lepidoptera; Bombycidae.